UUCUUGAUUUGGUGGUUGGUGGUGCAUGGCCGUUCUUAGUUGGUGGAGCGAUUUGUCUGGUUAAUUCCGAUAACGAACGAGACUCUAGCCUGCUAAUUAGUACGCCUGUCCUCUGUUCCUGUGCUGGCGGUGCUUUGGCGAAACUGCUCACAUAUGUCGACUGCUAUCGGGACGCGUUCUUGCGUAUGCCGCGAGCUCCUCGUGGGCGAGUGGUGUGCGUAGGAGCGUGAACUGUGGUAGGAGGCGUGUGCGGUGGGUCCGGUGCUUGCCUCCGGGUACGGCGCAGGUGUGUCUACUUCUUAGAGGGACAAGCAUUACGAAUGUGUACGAAAUUGAGCAAUAACAGGUCUGUGAUGCCCUUAGAUGUCCGGGGCCGCACGCGCGCUACAAUGACGGUGCCAACGAGUCUGACCUUCUGGCCCGAAAGGGUUGGGCAAACUGGUCAAUCACCGUCAUGACAGGGAUCGGGGCUUGGAAUUGUUCCCCGUGAACGAGGAAUUCCUAGUAAGUGCAAGUCAUAAGCUUGCGCUGAUUACGUCCCUGCCCUUUGUACACACCGCCCGUCGCUACUACCGAUUGAAUGGUUUAGUAAGGUCCUCGGAUUGGCGCCAUUGCAGUAUCAGCCGCAAGGUUG
RNAcentral lists this ribosomal RNA (634 nucleotides) under Dibothriocephalus dendriticus. RNAcentral's name for it is "bacterial SSU rRNA". It matches the Rfam family "Eukaryotic small subunit ribosomal RNA", at positions 1259 to 1746 of the family's 1831-position model. Lineage: Eukaryota; Metazoa; Platyhelminthes; Cestoda; Diphyllobothriidea; Diphyllobothriidae. The record is from RNAcentral.